AGAAAGCAGGCAGUCAGAAAGCUGGUGCUAUAGGGCUAUAGGGACUGGCAUAUAUCCGCCCUGCCGUCUACACUGUGCAGCUAAGGUUCCAGUUCUCUGAGCACUGAGCGCUGCUCUUUUGCAGCCUGUGUAUGUGUUUGCAUGAGAGAGAGAGAAAGCUGUCUAACAUGUAGUUCUGUAAUGGGAGAGAGAAUCUACGGUCAGCUCUCCCCACCCCGGGGCAAUUCAGAUCACCUGGGAGAGGCGAGCUGUCACAAGGGGGCCGAUGCUUGAAGAGGUCUGAACACUUUGCCGAUCUUUGCGCCCAGUCCUGAUUACACUGAAAUCAGCUGAAAAGAAAUGAGCUAACGGGAGAGAAAAGGAAGAGAGGGAGAGAGAGAGGCCAGAGAAAGAGGAGAUUUCAGAGGAGUGGUGAAUAACAUUACUUCACUGUUGAAACUCACCAAAGAUAACACUUGGAUUUUACAUCUGAGGUAACACCUCAACCAUCCUUUGUCCCUGUAGAAUUUACAUUGUUGCUGCUCCAACAAAUGAUGCUGAAACCUUUAUGGUUCAGAGGAGAUAUUGCUUCUUGUGGGGUGUCCAGAACUAGGUGCACUG
Rhincodon typus (whale shark) is the source of this 600-nucleotide long non-coding RNA. RefSeq lists it as uncharacterized. The transcript is spliced from 3 exons. The record is from RefSeq and is a predicted model, not a curated record. Lineage: Eukaryota; Metazoa; Chordata; Chondrichthyes; Orectolobiformes; Rhincodontidae.